AUGAACGCUAGCUACAGGCUUAACCCCUGCAAGUCGAGGGGCAGCAUGGUCUUAGCUUGCUAAGGCCGAUGGCGACCGGCGCACGGGUGAGUAACACGUAUCCAACCUGCCGUCUACUCUUGGACAGCCUUCUGAAAGGAAGAUUAAUACAAGAUGGCAUCAUGAGUCCGCAUGUUCACAUGAUUAAAGGUAUUCCGGUAGACGAUGGGGAUGCGUUCCAUUAGAUAGUAGGCGGGGUAACGGCCCACCUAGUCUUCGAUGGAUAGGGGUUCUGAGAGGAAGGUCCCCCACAUUGGAACUGAGACACGGUCCAAACUCCUACGGGAGGCAGCAGUGAGGAAUAUUGGUCAAUGGGCGAGAGCCUGAACCAGCCAAGUAGCGUGAAGGAUGACUGCCCUAUGGGUUGUAAACUUCUUUUAUAAAGGAAUAAAGUCGGGUAUGGAUACCCGUUUGCAUGUACUUUAUGAAUAAGGAUCGGCUAACUCCGUG
Molecule: ribosomal RNA, 489 nt
Filed under: uncultured bacterium
Lineage: Bacteria
Description: partial 16S ribosomal RNA
Rfam family: Bacterial small subunit ribosomal RNA
Source: RNAcentral